Small nuclear RNA from Carcharodon carcharias (great white shark), 107 nucleotides. The record is from RefSeq and is a predicted model, not a curated record. Lineage: Eukaryota; Metazoa; Chordata; Chondrichthyes; Lamniformes; Lamnidae.
UGGAUUCUUGAGAUUUUAUUUACGAUAGUGAACUUUAAGCACAGAGAAGAUUAGCAUGGCCCCUGUGCAAGGAUGACAUGCAAAUUCGUGAAGCGGUACAUCUUCUU